AAUAGAUACCCGGGUAGUCCAUGCCGUAAACGAUGUCUACUAGCCGUUGGGGCCUUUGAGGCUUUAGUGGCGCAGCUAACGCGAUAAGUAGACCGCCUGGGGAGUACGGUCGCAAGACUAAAACUCAAAUGAAUUGACGGGGGCCCGCACAAGCGGUGGAGCAUGUGGUUUAAUUCGAUGCAACGCGAAGAACCUUACCUGGCCUUGACAUACUAGAAACUUUCCAGAGAUGGAUUGGUGCCUUCGGGAAUCUAGAUACAGGUGCUGCAUGGCUGUCGUCAGCUCGUGUCGUGAGAUGUUGGGUUAAGUCCCGCAACGAGCGCAACCCUUUUCCUUACUUGCCAGCAUUUCGGAUGGGAACUUUAAGGAUACUGCCAGUGACAAACUGGAGGAAGGCGGGGACGACGUCAAGUCAUCAUGGCCCUUACGGCCAGGGCUACACACGUGCUACAAUGGUCGGUACAAAGGGUUGCUACACAGCGAUGUGAUGCUAAUCUCAAAAAGCCGAUCGUAGUCCGGA
RNAcentral lists this ribosomal RNA (520 nucleotides) under uncultured bacterium. RNAcentral describes it as "bacterial SSU rRNA". It matches the Rfam family "Bacterial small subunit ribosomal RNA", at positions 777 to 1297 of the family's 1533-position model. The record is from RNAcentral.